This 1125-nucleotide long non-coding RNA is filed under the name Equus caballus (horse). Its description in RNAcentral is "lncRNA (ENSECAG00000057067.1)". The record is from RNAcentral. Lineage: Eukaryota; Metazoa; Chordata; Mammalia; Perissodactyla; Equidae.
CAGGAAUGACCUCUAGGUUCCAGGCUUGUCCAGAUGCAUAGAUGGAGGUGUUAUCCUUCAGAUAAGGCACCCUGGAAGAAGACCUAGUUUGAGGAGGGGGUUAAGAUUUUGAGUUUAGUCUUAUAUAUGCUGAACAUAAGGUGUUUUCGGCAAUUGGAGGGGAAGUAUAAAAUCAACAGCUAUGUGGCUGGGCCAGGAGAUUGCCAAAACCAGUCAUCUGAAAACAUGAUGCUCAGAAUGGAAGCAGUGGACUUUCAACUAAGCAAGAAAACUGAGAUCAAAGGAGUUAACGUGGGCUACCUCAGUGUGUUUGUCUCCUUAAGAAAUGCACAAGCAUAUAUAGUUUCCACUGUGAGAGGCAAAUAAAGUAAUGGAAGCUAAAGUAAAAUUACAUGUGCUCUAAACUUGAUUAUGCUAAAACAAAAAAGAGCAGGAACUAUACAACUGUAAAAGACAUGUAGCUCUUAUUGAAAGAACAAUCUUGCUGCACUUUAGACAGAAGGGAAAAACGGGCCAGCAGACAAGAGGGGGUUCACAUAGAAAACGAGGUUUAGAGAAGCAAGAUGUGCUAAGCCUCUCCAGCCCAAAGGGAAACACAGAAUAUGAAUGGCAUGAGCAGCCUGAUGACCAGAGGGUGACCAUUGUUUCGGGGGGUGAGCAAUAUUUCACUGAUGUCUCCUGAGCUAAGGGGAACUAUGGCUUCAACUGCCCUUUGUUCUAAUUCUGGGCUUGCCAAGCAACCUUUUGGUCAAUAAUUCAAGUUAAUCAUAACAGAGAACACUUUCUAAGGCCUUAGAGAACAUUCUUCUAAGCCCUUUACGUGCAUUAUCUCAUUUAAUCUUCACAAUAACGAAUGAUACAGGUUACUAUUAUCUGGAUGUUACAGAUGAUAGAAUGGAGGCACAGAGGUUAAUCAAUUUGCCCAGCGUUACAUAGGUAGUAAGAGAGGGCUGGGAUUCGAAUCCAGGCAAUUGGACUCUCAGGUCCCCAACUUUUAAUCACUUCCCCCCACUUGCAUACCCAGGUGGUGGUUGUGGUUGGGGAUUUAGGUAUUCUGGUCCCUGGUGAGGGAGUGAGGGGUCAAUCCCAUAUUAAUUUAAUAAAUUGGAACUCUUAUUUCCUUAG